AAUGGGAUAGUUGGGUCAUGUGGUGGUUCCAUUUCUAAUUUUUUGAGGAAUCUAUAUACUAUUUUCCAAAGUGUUUAUGCUACUUUGUCAUCCUACUAACAAU
RNAcentral lists this microRNA precursor (103 nucleotides) under Marmota monax (woodchuck). The record is from RNAcentral. Lineage: Eukaryota; Metazoa; Chordata; Mammalia; Rodentia; Sciuridae.